UAUAAUCUUAAAACCUAAAAAUUUUGGCGGUUCUUUAGUCUAUUCAGAGGAACCUGUUUCGUAAUCGAUAUUCCACGUUAAACCUAGCUUAAUAUUGUCUAGCUUAUAUACCGCCGUUAUUGAAUAUUUUUUUAAAAUAAUAAUUUUCAGAAUUUAAAUUGUAAAGUAUAUCAGGUCAAGGUGUAGCUUAUGAUUAAGUGUAUAAUGGGUUACAUUAAUAUUAUUUAUACGGAUAAAGAAAUGAAAUUUUCCUUUCAAGGAGGAUUUGAUAGUAAACUUAAUUGAGUAACUUAAGUUGACUUUAGCUCUAAAGCGUGCACAUAUCGCCCGUCACUCUUAUUAAUAAAAUAAGAUAAGUCGUAACAUAGUAGAUGUACUGGAAGGUGUAUCUAGAAUAUCAAUUUAAAGCUUUUGAGUAAAGUAUUUCAUUUACAUUGAAAUGAUUGUUGUGCAAUUCAAUAUAAAUUGAUACUUGCCAAUUAUUAAUUUUUUUU
This 494-nucleotide ribosomal RNA is filed under the name Acropsilus sp. 2 SNK-2009. RNAcentral's name for it is "partial 12S ribosomal RNA". The stretch from base 1 to 400 matches the Rfam family "Microsporidia small subunit ribosomal RNA", at positions 764 to 1311 of the family's 1311-position model. The record is from RNAcentral. Lineage: Eukaryota; Metazoa; Arthropoda; Insecta; Diptera; Dolichopodidae.